RNAcentral lists this unclassified non-coding RNA (226 nucleotides) under Hevea brasiliensis (rubber tree). Lineage: Eukaryota; Viridiplantae; Streptophyta; Magnoliopsida; Malpighiales; Euphorbiaceae. The record is from RNAcentral.
AGGUUUAGAUAUUUUGUGUAUGUGUUUGGUUUUGUUGGUUUUGGAUAGGUGGUUUUUUGUCGUUUUUUUCGGUGGGUCGUUUUGUUUUAGGAGGGGUAUGUUUCGUUAUGUGUCGGGAAUUAGGAUUUGGUGUAGAGAGUUUUUUAUCGUAGGAAAUGGGUUGUUGUUAGAAGGGCGGUUAUUUUUUGAUUUAUUAUAUAAUGUGUUUUUGGGGAAUCGGAUGUUA